ACUAAGCGGAGGAAAAGAAACUAACAAGGAUUCCCUCAGUAGCUGCGAGCGAACAGGGAACUAGCCCAGCACCGAAUCUCGCAGGCUCUCCCCUGCCGAGAAAUGUGGUGUUUGGGAGGACCCGCCUAUCCCGGGAUCCUGCGGCGCGUUCAAGUCCUUCUUGAAUGGGGCCACGGCCCGCAGAGGGUGCCAGGCCCGUAGUGACCGCUGCGGCUUCCGGGAGGGUCUCUCCUUAGAGUCGGGUUGCUUGAGAGUGCAGCCCUAAGCGGGUGGUAAACUCCAUCUAAGGCUAAAUAUGACCACGAGACCGAUAGCGAACAAGUACCGUGAGGGAAAGUUGAAAAGAACUUUGAAGAGAGAGUUCAAAAGUACGUGAAACCGUUCUGGGGUAAACGUGAGAAGUCCGAAAGUCGAACGGGAGAGAUUCACGUCCAUCCGGUGCCUGGCGAGGCGCUGGCCAGAUGGGCCGCUCGCCCGCACGGAGCAAUCCGUGACGGUGUCGUAGGCGGUUGAAUUGUCCACUCGGCUGGUGUCUUCUGCUAGGCCCGGUGGGCCGCACUUCUCUCCACGUUGGACGUCGCGACCCGUUGGGCGCCGGUCUGAGGCCUGGGUGGUAGUCUGUUCGUCCGCUUCGGCGUUCGUCGGGCAGACCCCCGGUGUUCCCGACCGUCGGCUCGACGGUAAGUUUGCGCGGAGUUGAUUCGCCGCCCCUCGGGGCGGGCGUUGGGCCCUGGGCAAGCUCGUGCGUGCGUUUCGGAUGACGGUCCUCCGGUCCGGCUCUGACGCCGCAUAGCUGCUGGUUCCGGUGUGCCUCCAACGGAAGAAUCGUAGACUCCUGUCUGCGGCGCUUGAGCUUUGGGUAAUUUCACGACCCGUCUUGAAACACGGACCAAGGAGUCUAACAUGUGCGCGAGUCAUUGGGUUACUCAAACCUAAAGGCGCAAUGAAAGUGAAGGUUCCGCCUCGCGCGGACCGAGGGAAGAUGGGGCGUGCGUCAGCGCGGCCCCCGCAUUCCCGGGGCGUCUCGUUCUCAUUGCGAGUUGAGGCGCACCCAGAGCGUACACGUUGGGACCCGAAAGAUGGUGAACUAUGCCUGGCCAGGACGAAGUCAGGGGAAACCCUGAUGGAGGUCCGUAGCGAUUCUGACGUGCAAAUCGAUCGUCGGAGCUGGGUAUAGGGGCGAAAGACUAAUCGAACCAUCUAGUAGCUGGUUCCCUCCGAAGUUUCCCUCAGGAUAGCUGGUGCUCAAUUGAGUCUCAUCCGGUAAAGCGAAUGAUUAGAGGCCUUGGGGCCGAAACGACCUCAACCUAUUCUCAAACUUUAAAUGGGUGAGAUCUCCGGCUUGCUUAAAGCUAUGAAGCCGCGAGAUUUGGAUCGGAGUGCCAAGUGGGCCAUUUUUGGUAAGCAGAACUGGCGCUGUGGGAUGAACCAAACGCCGAGUUAAGGCGCCCGAAUCGACGCUCAUGGGAUACCAUGAAAGGCGUUGGUUGCUUAAGACAGCAGGACGGUGGCCAUGGAAGUCGGAAUCCGCUAAGGAGUGUGUAACAACUCACCUGCCGAAGCAACUAGCCCUGAAAAUGGAUGGCGCUGAAGCGUCGUGCCUAUACUCGGCCGUCAGCACGGCAAUGAGGGGUGCGAGGCUCGCCCUCGGGCGGGUCCGCCCCGUAAAGCCCUGACGAGUAGGAGGGUCGCGGCGGUGAGCGCAGAAGGGUCUGGGCGUGAGCCUGCCUGGAGCCGCCGUCGGUGCAGAUCUUGGUGGUAGUAGCAAAUACUCCAGCGAGGCCCUGGAGGACUGACGCGGAGAAGGGUUUCGUGUGAACAGCCGUUGCACACGAGUCAGUCGAUCCUAAGCCCUAGGAGAAAUCCGAUGUCGAUGGGGACCUUUUCAAUUUAUUGGGUCGGUCCCCGUUGGGCGAAAGGGAAUCCGGUUCCUAUUCCGGAACCCGGCAGCGGAACCGUCAUUAGUCGGGCCCCUCAUUAUGAGAAGCUCGUCGGGGUAACCCAAGAGGACCCGGAGACGCCGUCGGGAGAUCGGGGAAGAGUUUUCUUUUCUGUAUGAGCGUUCGAGUUCCCUGGAAUCCUCUAGCAGGGAGAUAGGGUUUGGAACGCGAAGAGCACCGCAGUUGCGGCGGUGUCCCGAUCUUCCCCUCGGACCUUGAAAAUCCGGGAGAGGGCCACGUGGAGGUGUCGCGCCGGCUCGUACCCAUAUCCGCAGCAGGUCUCCAAGGUGAAGAGCCUCUAGUC
This 2244-nucleotide ribosomal RNA is filed under the name Camptonotus carolinensis (leaf-rolling cricket). RNAcentral's name for it is "eukaryotic LSU rRNA". It matches the Rfam family "Eukaryotic large subunit ribosomal RNA", at positions 45 to 1888 of the family's 3401-position model. Lineage: Eukaryota; Metazoa; Arthropoda; Insecta; Orthoptera; Gryllacrididae. The record is from RNAcentral.